UGAGGAAUAUUGGUCAAUGGGCGCAAGCCUGAACCAGCCAUCCCGCGUGAAGGAUGAAGGCCCUAUGGGUCGUAAACUUCUUUUAUACACCAAGAAAAAGCAGGACGUGUCCUGCCCCGACGGUAGUGUAUGAAUAAGCAUCGGCUAACUCCGUGCCAGCAGCCGCGGUAAUACGGAGGAUGCGAGCGUUAUCCGGAUUCAUUGGGUUUAAAGGGUGCGUAGGCGGCUUUUUAGGUCAGUGGUGAAAUCUUGCCGCUUAACGGUAAAAUUGCCAUUGAUACUGAUAAGCUUGAGUACAAUUGAGGUAAGCGGAAUGUGUAGUGUAGCGGUGCAAUGCUUAGAUAUUACACAGAACACCGAUUGCGAAGGCAGCUUACUAAACUGUUUCUGACGCUGAUGCACGAAAGCGGGGGGAGCAAACA
RNAcentral lists this ribosomal RNA (422 nucleotides) under uncultured prokaryote. RNAcentral's name for it is "bacterial SSU rRNA". It matches the Rfam family "Bacterial small subunit ribosomal RNA", at positions 355 to 774 of the family's 1533-position model. The record is from RNAcentral.